This is a long non-coding RNA of Bradysia coprophila, 158 nucleotides long. NCBI's taxonomy places the organism in Eukaryota, Metazoa, Arthropoda, Insecta, Diptera, Sciaridae. The record is from RefSeq and is a predicted model, not a curated record.
GCAAUUGAGUCUGAUCUAAAAGUACUAAGAGUGAGCGACUGGAGAACGUUGGCGCGGAAUAGGUCCGAUUGGAGAAGAUUGCUGGAAGAGGCCAAAAGCAAUAGUAGGUUGUAGUGCCCGCCUAAGUAAGUAAGUAAUGAUAACAGAGAAUGCGAUCG